AAUCAAGAUAUCAGCUUAUACUGGUAUACAUGGCUUCAUUCUCUUGGGCAAGAUUUAUUUAUUUUAUUAUAAUGAUCGUUAUUAUACUGCAGUUCGUUUUAAGCCAUGCAGUUGCAGGGAAAGCUGCGAGAGAUCCAGGUGACAGACAUCCUCCUUCUCGACCCGGGCCUGGCCCUGGACCAAGAGAUCAUGACGGUGCACCUAUAAUUAAUAAUGGCCCAUAAGUCAUGAUUUACAAGAUCCUAGCUCGAAGGAUAGAAAUCGAUUUAUGACACAAAAUGGAUCAUCAUUUCACACAGAGCCAGUUAAUUACUUCGGUGUUGGUUAAGAUAUAUUAAAUAUUGCAUUUUUCUCUUCCCAUUUGUAUUGAGUUUACAUGUUUUUGGUUGUAUUGAUAUUAACUGUUGAAAUAAUAGAGAGCAAAUAAUAAAGAGCAAAUAUUAAAUUUGUUAUUGUAUCAUAUCAAUUAGGUUUCAUACUUCUCUGAGAUCCUAUUGACUGAUUAAUAAUUUAUGUAUAUUAUAUAAUGAGAAAAUAGAUUAUUUUUUUUACCAUCCAACUUAUUAUUUAUUUAGAAUCCUACCACUGAACUAUAAUUUUUUUCUUUUUUGUCAUUAAUGAUAGGUUCGGAUUUUUUUAUUUUUUUUUAACGUAGGAACCCGCAGCCGCUACCCUUCGGGUGCGCACUGGAUAAACCCACGAGCUCACGCAAUAGCCUGCAAACUACGUGAACCAAGGUAAACCAUCCAGGAGGCAUAAUCACAAAUUCUGCUCCCUUCGGGAGUCGAACCUGUGACCAAGAGGAUACAUGUCCAAGGUAAACCAGGUAAACCGCACCGUGCGCACUGGAUAAACCCACGAGCUCACGCAAUAGCCUGCAAACUACGUGAACCAAGGUAAACCAUCCAGGAGGCAUAAUCACAAAUUCUGCUCCCUUCGGGAGUCGAACCUGUGACCAAGAGGAUACAUGUCCAAGGUAAACCAGGUAAACCGCACCUAAGCGCGACAGACUCUGAUCCAGGAUGCAUAAUCACAAAUUCUGCUCCCUUCGGGAGUCGAACCUGUGACCAAGAGGAUACAUGUCCUCUCUUUAACCAGCUGAACCAACCCUUGCGGGCAGGUUCGGAUUUUUUUUGUCACUAGUGCUCCUCCUACGUAGUUUAUGAGAGUUUGAAAUUGGCAUGUCCGAAAACAGAGACCAGUCUGGACUAGCCAAAUACUUUGACCCCAAGUCCAAAUGUUGCAGCUUCUGAAGAUGACUAAUUUGGUAAGGAAUGGUACCAUUUAUAUAAUUGUCGUAAAAGCUCAAGUACUGAAGCUCUGCCAGGUCUCCAAUCCCUCCCGGUAUAACAUCUGACAGCAAGUUGUGACUCAUGUCCAAAGCACUGAGGUUCGGAAAUGAACUGAAACUGAAGUGAGCAAGUGUUCCAUUAAGGUCUUGACCAGAAACAUUGAGCUUCGAAACUGUUCCUGCAGAAUUGCAGGUAAUGCCAGUCCAGUUACAAAGGUUUUCGAGAUGGCUUGAGGACCAAGAACUGAGGGAAGCAGCUGGUAAUAAACUGCUCUUCCAUUUGACAAGUGCUUCUGCCUCAGUUCUUGGUGAUGAUGUUAGAAUUUGUGGAACUACUGAGAUGAAAAGAACACUCAGCAGUGAAAAAACUAGUGGACUGUGAAGUAAGGCCAUUAGUGUUGGUUUAUAUUUGGUUGGAAUCUAGUACUCCCUCCGUCUCACCCAAUUCUUUACCCUUUCCUUUUUGGGAUGUCUCAUCCAAUUUUUUACAUUUCAAAACUUACCAAAAAUAGUCAAUGGUCCCACCACUUCUCCACUUUUCUUUCUUUUUCACACUACUUUUACUCCACUAUCUUCUUUUUAUACAUUAAAAAUCAAUGAGUCCCACCACUUUACUCACUUUUCUUCCUCUUUUCCACUACUUUAUACAUAUUCCUUAACCUCCGUGCCCAACCCAUUUAAUAAGAAAUGGGUGGGACGGAGGAAGUAAGAUUUUCUGGGAUUUAUAGUAGUGUACCUAAUGUUAGGCCAAAAAUGUAAAUUAUUUCUUUGUGGAAAUAACAUUACACUAGCUUGACUUUACAGUCAGUCGUCAUAAGUGAAGUAACGGAGCAAUUUCUGAACAUGUCAAAAAUCAACGAAAAUUCUGCUUUAUAGAUCUUUAUGUCAUUACAAACAUUGAUUUAUUAAGCACCGUUCAGAAACUUCUGAUGUUGACAUUACAAAAGCAACGACUUCUCACUUUAGAUUUUCUGAACAUGGAAAAAUCACUCACCGUUCCCGGAUCUCGAAUUUCGACCACUUUGUGUUAUCAUGGGAAAAUUAAUAGAAAGUCCUGACC
Daucus carota subsp. sativus is the source of this 2351-nucleotide long non-coding RNA. RefSeq lists it as uncharacterized. NCBI's taxonomy places the organism in Eukaryota, Viridiplantae, Streptophyta, Magnoliopsida, Apiales, Apiaceae. The transcript is spliced from 3 exons. The record is from RefSeq and is a predicted model, not a curated record.